AUGCGCCGCUCCGACAAGCCCGGCGCCUUCCCCACCCGCGCCGAGCUCCUCGCCGCGGGGCGCGCCGACCUCGCCGCCGCCGUCGAGUCCAGCGGAGGCUGGCUCUCCCUCGGAUGGUCCUGGUCCUCCGACGACGACGCGCGGCGGCCGGCUGCGUCAACGGCCGGCCCCGGCGUGCACCCUGAAUACCCGCCCGAGGCGGGUCCUUCUGGCCGACCGCCAAACUCGGCCGCGGAUUCCGUAAGGGAGCAGCAGGAACCGGCGCCGUCUGGGAGGCAGCCGGAGACGGAGGAGACAGAGGAGGCAGGGUCUGGGGCAGGCCUGGAGGGAAUGCUCGCCAGGCUGCGGAGAGAGAGGGAGCGUGCGCGGCCACCGCCACGCAGCAAGAAUCAAGCGGGAGGGCGAGGUCAAAAUGGCGCUUUAAUGAACCAUAAUGGAGCUCCUAGUCGAAGUCCAACUAAUGGCAUGUACACUCGAAGGAUACCUGUGAAUGGAAAUAUACACCGCUCUCAUUCUCAAAAUGGAAUACCAGAGGACAACAAAUCAAGUAGUUCGGCCAAUGAUGCAUGGCGAACAUGGUCUCUUGACAAGAGUCGGUUUUCUGAUUUUGAAGCCGCUGAGAUCCAUCCUUUGAGCAGAAAACCACCAAAACAUGUUGACCUGAACACUGUGUUGAUAGAAGAUGAUGUUCCUGGACCAUCUAAUGGUGUGGUUAUAAAUGAUUAUCCUAGUGAUCAUGUAGACUCUGAAAGAGAUGAGAUACAUGCACGUUUUCAAAAUUUGGAAUUCGAUCUUGCAGAUUCUCUUAAGACAUUAAGAUCAAGAUUUGAUGGAGUUUCGUCAUAUAUGUCAAAUGGCGAAGAAGCAGAUGUGGUAAAUGGGUUCUCUGAUGAUUGGGAAUUUGAAGAGACAAAAGUAAUGCAUGCCCAGGAAGAAUUACGGACAAUCCGUGCUAAAAUAGCAGUAUUAGAAGGCAAGGUGGCGCUAGAAAUAAUUGAGAAGAACAAAAUAAUUGAAGAAAAGCAAACGAGGCUUGAUGAAGUUGAGAAGGCUUUGAGUGAGCUCCGCACAGUAUCUGUUGUAUGGCCCAAUCCUGCUUCAGAAGUUCUAUUGACCGGUUCUUUUGAUGGGUGGACAAGCCAAAGAAGGAUGGAACAAUCAGAAAGCGGCAUUUUUUCGUAUAACCUGAGGUUGUAUCCCGGUAGAUAUGAGGUAAUGGCGUGCUAUUCUGCUUUCAUUGUCACUGCUUUCUCGUCAUCUGAUAGUGGGUGUUGGUUUGUGCUUCAGAUUAAAUUUAUUGUUGAUGGUGUUUGGAAGAACGACCCGCUGCGCCCUAGCGUGAACAACCAUGGGAACGAAAACAACCUUAUGAUUGUCACUUGA
Molecule: ribosomal RNA, 1383 nt
Filed under: Triticum aestivum (bread wheat)
Lineage: Eukaryota; Viridiplantae; Streptophyta; Magnoliopsida; Poales; Poaceae
Description: partial small subunit ribosomal RNA
Source: RNAcentral